RNAcentral lists this ribosomal RNA (863 nucleotides) under Hydropisphaera peziza. RNAcentral's name for it is "LSU rRNA". It matches the Rfam family "Eukaryotic large subunit ribosomal RNA", at positions 38 to 935 of the family's 3401-position model. The record is from RNAcentral. Lineage: Eukaryota; Fungi; Ascomycota; Sordariomycetes; Hypocreales; Bionectriaceae.
GCAUAUCAAUAAGCGGAGGAAAAGAAACCAACAGGGAUUGCCUCAGUAACGGCGAGUGAAGCGGCAACAGCUCAAAUUUGAAAUCUGGCCCUAGGCCCGAGUUGUAAUUUGCAGAGGAUGUUUCUGGCGAGGUGCCUUCCGAGUGCCCUGGAACGGGACGCCAUAGAGGGUGAGAGCCCCGUACGGUUGGUCGCUAAGCCUCUGUGAAACUCCUUCGACGAGUCGAGUAGUUUGGGAAUGCUGCUCUAAAUGGGAGGUAUACGUCUUCUAAAGCUAAAUACCGGCCAGAGACCGAUAGCGCACAAGUAGAGUGAUCGAAAGAUGAAAAGCACUUUGAAAAGAGGGUUAAAUAGUACGUGAAAUUGUUGAAAGGGAAGCGCUCAUGACCAGACUUGGGCCGGUUGAUCAUCCGCCGUUCUCGGCGGUGCACUCUGCCGGCUCAGGCCAGCAUCAGUUUGGUCCGGGGGAUAAAGGUGUAGGGAAUGUGGCUCCCCCCGGGGAGUGUUAUAGCCCUGCGCGUAAUACCCUGGACUGGACUGAGGUUCGCGCAUCUGCAAGGAUGCUGGCGUAAUGGUUAUCAGUGACCCGUCUUGAAACACGGACCAAGGAGUCGUCUUCGUAUGCGAGUGUUCGGGUGUCAAACCCCUACGCGUAAUGAAAGUGAACGUAGGAGAGAGCUUCGGCGCAUCUCCGACCGAUCCUGAUGUUCUCGGAUGGAUUUGAGUAAGAGCAUACGGGGCCGGACCCGAAAGAAGGUGAACUAUGCCUGUAUAGGGUGAAGCCAGAGGAAACUCUGGUGGAGGCUCGCAGCGGUUCUGACGUGCAAAUCGAUCGUCAAAUAUGGCAUGGGGCGAAAGACUAAU